UAAUGAUUGGUCUGGUGAUUCUCCUGUUUGGUAUUGCAUCUUCAGUUAAUGCAGCAUCCAUCUUUGUCUUUAGUGGUAUUCCUUACUGGGGAUCUUUCAGCUACAUUGCCGCAGGCUCACUCUGCAUUGCUGCAGAAAACAAACUUAGUUAGCCCUACAGUUUGUGUUUGGUAAAAGGUUCACUUGGAAUGAACAUUUUCAGUACUUUAACAGCAAGCAUUUCGAUUAUUGUAAUUUCAAUGGAUUUGGGUCUAGGGCCAUUGAACCCUUAUUGUGGCAGUUAUGACUGUAAUGAAUUUGAUAACAAUUAUAUGGUAUGCUAUCAACUUUUCUAUUCACUUUUAUAUAGUAGUUAUUAUAUAAUCACUGUGUGGUCAGUACACUUUUCA
Long non-coding RNA from Megalobrama amblycephala (Wuchang bream), 389 nucleotides. RefSeq lists it as uncharacterized. The transcript has 3 exons. NCBI's taxonomy places the organism in Eukaryota, Metazoa, Chordata, Actinopteri, Cypriniformes, Xenocyprididae. The record is from RefSeq and is a predicted model, not a curated record.